CGCGUAGGAAUCAACCCAGCAGUGGGGGACAACUCGUGGAAACGCGAGCUAAUACCGCAUAUACCCUACGGGUAAAGGUGGCCUCUCCUUGGAGGCUAUCGCUGUUGGAUGAGCCUGCGUAAGAUUAGCUAGUUGGUAGGGUAAAGGCCUACCAAGGCGACGAUCUUUAGCUGGUCUGAGAGGAUGAUCAGCCACACUGGGACUGAGACACGGCCCAGACUCCUACGGGAGGCAGCAGUGGGGAAUAUUGGACAAUGGGGGCAACCCUGAUCCAGCCAUGCCGCGUGUGUGAAGAAGGCU
Molecule: ribosomal RNA, 300 nt
Filed under: uncultured Oceanospirillales bacterium
Lineage: Bacteria; Pseudomonadati; Pseudomonadota; Gammaproteobacteria; Oceanospirillales
Description: bacterial SSU rRNA
Rfam family: Bacterial small subunit ribosomal RNA
Source: RNAcentral